AGAGUUUGAUCAUGGCUCAGGAUGAACGCUAGCGGCAGGCUUAAUACAUGCAAGUCGUGGGGCAGCAGGUCUGUAGCAAUACAGAUGCUGGCGACCGGCAAACGGGUGCGGAACACGUACACAACCUUCCUUUAAGUGGGGAAUAGCCCAGGGAAACUUGGAUUAAUACCCCGUAACAUAUAGAAGAGGCAUCUCUUUCAUAUUAUAGCUACGGCGCUUGAAGAUGGGUGUGCGGCUGAUUAGGUAGUUGGCGGGGUAACGGCCCACCAAGCCUGCGAUCAGUAACUGGUGUGAGAGCACGACCAGUCACACGGGCACUGAGACACGGGCCCGACUCCUACGGGAGGCAGCAGUAAGGAAUAUUGGUCAAUGGACGCAAGUCUGAACCAGCCAUGCCGCGUGAAGGAUGAAGGCCCUCUGGGUUGUAAACUUCUUUUAUAGGGGACGAAAAAAGCUCAUUCUUGAGCACUUGACGGUACCCUAGGAAUAAGCACCGGCUAACUCCGUGCCAGCAGCCGCGGUAAUACGGAGGGUGCAAGCGUUAUCCGGAUUUACUGGGUUUAAAGGGUGCGUAGGUGGAUUAGUAAGUCAGUGGUGAAAUCUCCGGGCUUAACCCGGAAACUGCCAUUGAUACUAUUAGUCUUGAAUAUCCUGGAGGUGAGCGGAAUAUGUCAUGUAGCGGUGAAAUGCUUAGAUAUGACAUAGAACACCAAUUGCGAAGGCAGCUCACUACGGGAUUAUUGACACUGAGGCACGAAAGCGUGGGGAUCAAACAGGAUUAGAUACCCUUGUAGUCC
Molecule: ribosomal RNA, 797 nt
Filed under: uncultured bacterium
Lineage: Bacteria
Description: bacterial SSU rRNA
Rfam family: Bacterial small subunit ribosomal RNA
Source: RNAcentral